AGUGAACGCUGGCGGUAGGCCUAACACAUGCAAGUCGAACGGCAGCACAGUAAGAGCUUGCUCUUACGGGUGGCGAGUGGCGGACGGGUGAGGAAUACAUCGGAAUCUACUUUUUCGUGGGGGAUAACGUAGGGAAACUUACGCUAAUACCGCAUACGACCUACGGGUGAAAGCAGGGGAUCUUCGGACCUUGCGCGAUUGAAUGAGCCGAUGUCGGAUUAGCUAGUUGGCGGGGUAAAGGCCCACCAAGGCGACGAUCCGUAGCUGGUCUGAGAGGAUGAUCAGCCACACUGGAACUGAGCACCGGUCCAGAUUCCUACGGGAGGCAGCAGUGGGAAAUAUUGGACAAGGGGCGCAAGCCUGAUCCAGCCAUACCGCGUGGGUGAAGAAGGCUUCCGGUUUGUAAGCCCUUUUGUUGGGAAAGAAAAGCAGCAGGUUAAUACCCCGCUGUUCUGACGGUACCCAAAGAAUAAGCACCGGCUAACUUCGUG
RNAcentral lists this ribosomal RNA (491 nucleotides) under uncultured bacterium. RNAcentral describes it as "partial 16S ribosomal RNA". It matches the Rfam family "Bacterial small subunit ribosomal RNA", at positions 29 to 507 of the family's 1533-position model. The record is from RNAcentral.